UGCGUAGGCGGAAUAUUAAGUCAGUGGUGAAAUCCUGCGGCUCAACCGUAGAACUGCCAUUGAUACUGAUAUUCUUGAAUGUAGUUGAAGUAGGCGGAAUGUGUAAUGUAGCGGUGAAAUGCUUAGAUAUUACACAGAACACCGAUUGCGAAGGCAGCUUGCUAAACUAUGAUUGACGCUGAUGCACGAAAGCGUGGGGAGCGAACAGGAUUAGAUACCCUGGUAGUC
This 228-nucleotide ribosomal RNA is filed under the name uncultured bacterium. RNAcentral describes it as "partial 16S ribosomal RNA". It matches the Rfam family "Bacterial small subunit ribosomal RNA", at positions 568 to 795 of the family's 1533-position model. The record is from RNAcentral.